This 28-nucleotide ribosomal RNA is filed under the name Cuphea appendiculata. RNAcentral's name for it is "partial 18S ribosomal RNA". The record is from RNAcentral. Lineage: Eukaryota; Viridiplantae; Streptophyta; Magnoliopsida; Myrtales; Lythraceae.
CGAAUCUGACAGCAGAACGACCAGAGAA